GAUGAAGAACGUAGCGAAAUGCGAUAAGUAGUGUGAAUUGCAGAAUUCAGUGAAUCAUCGAAUCUUUGAACGCACAUUGCGCCCCUUGGUAUCCCGAGGGGCAUGCCUGUUCGAGCGUCAUUUCACCACUCAAGCCUGGCUUGGUGUUCGGCGACGUCCCCUUUGGGGACGCGCCUCGAAACGCUCGGCGGCGUGGCACCGGCUUUAAGCGUAGCAGAAUCUUUCGCUUUGGAAGUCGGGGCCCCGUCUGCCGGAAGACCUACUCGCAAGGUUGACCUCGGAUCAGGCAGGGAUACCCGCUGAACUUAAGCAUAUCAAUAAGCGGAGGA
Molecule: unclassified non-coding RNA, 329 nt
Filed under: soil metagenome
Description: partial contains 5.8S ribosomal RNA, internal transcribed spacer 2, and large subunit ribosomal RNA
Rfam family: 5.8S ribosomal RNA (bases 1-120)
Source: RNAcentral